RNAcentral lists this ribosomal RNA (338 nucleotides) under uncultured Acidocella sp. RNAcentral describes it as "bacterial SSU rRNA". It matches the Rfam family "Bacterial small subunit ribosomal RNA", at positions 505 to 841 of the family's 1533-position model. Lineage: Bacteria; Pseudomonadati; Pseudomonadota; Alphaproteobacteria; Acetobacterales; Acidocellaceae. The record is from RNAcentral.
GUGCCAGAAAAAAGGGGCAAUACGAAGGGGGCUAGCGUUGCUCGGAAUGCCUGGGCGUAAAGGGCGCGUAGGCGGCUGUCACAGUCAGAUGUGAAAUUCCUGGGCUCAACCUGGGGACUGCAUUUGAUACGUGGCGGCUUGAGUGGAGAAGAGGGUUGUGGAAUUUCCAGUGUAGAGGUGAAAUUCGUAGAUAUUGGAAAGAACACCGGUGGCGAAGGCGGCAACCUGGUCUUCAACUGACGCUGAGGCGCGAAAGCGUGGGGAGCAAACAGGAUUAGAUACCCUGGUAGUCCACGCUGUAAACGAUGUGUGCUGGAUGUUGGGGAACUUAGUUUCUC